RNAcentral lists this ribosomal RNA (507 nucleotides) under Fusarium decemcellulare. RNAcentral describes it as "eukaryotic LSU rRNA". The stretch from base 163 to 316 matches the Rfam family "5.8S ribosomal RNA". Lineage: Eukaryota; Fungi; Ascomycota; Sordariomycetes; Hypocreales; Nectriaceae. The record is from RNAcentral.
CCGAGUUUACAACUCCCAAACCCCUGUGAACAUACCUAUAAUUUUGCCUCGGCAGACUCAACGACGGUGCUCCGAGAAAUCGGGCGCCGCUCGCUGCCAGAGGAACCCCAAACUCUAUGUAUUCUUGUGGAUCUUCUGAGUAAAACAAAACAAAUAAAUCAAAACUUUCAACAACGGAUCUCUUGGUUCUGGCAUCGAUGAAGAACGCAGCGAAAUGCGAUAAGUAAUGUGAAUUGCAGAAUUCAGUGAAUCAUCGAAUCUUUGAACGCACAUUGCGCCCGCCAGUAUUCUGGCGGGCAUGCCUGUUCGAGCGUCAUUUCAACCCUCAAGCCCCCGGGCUUGGUGUUGGGGAUCGGCGAUAGUCGCCGUCCCCCAAAUCUAGUGGCGGUCUCGCUGUAGCCUCCAUUGCGUAGUAGCUAACACCUCGCAACUGGAACGCGGCGCGGCCAAGCCGUUAAACCCCCAACUUCUGAAUGUUGACCUCGGAUCAGGUAGGAAUACCCGCUG